This is a long non-coding RNA of Bubalus bubalis (water buffalo), 4405 nucleotides long. RefSeq lists it as uncharacterized. The transcript is spliced from 2 exons. NCBI's taxonomy places the organism in Eukaryota, Metazoa, Chordata, Mammalia, Artiodactyla, Bovidae. The record is from RefSeq and is a predicted model, not a curated record.
GACCCCAUGGACUGUAGCCUACCAGGCUCCUCCGUCCAUGGGAUUUUCCAGGCAAGAGUAGUGGAGUGGGGUGCCAUUGCCUUCUCCGUGUUUUUCGCCUAGAUUCCUGCAACUGCCUCCGAACUAUUCUCCCCGCUUCUGUCCUUGCUCUCCUAUCUUUUUUUUUUUUUCUGCACAGCAGCCAGAAUAAACCUUUGAAAACAUAAGUCAUAUCAUAAAACAUAAAUCAUUCCUCCAGUGACUUCUCAUGCCACUCAAAUAAAAGUCUUUAAUGACUUCCAAGGCCCUACAAUUCUGCCCCCUACAUUCCCGCUUGCCUGGCCUAGCUCCUAAAGCUCUCCCUAGCUCACUCUAUUCAGCUACACUAGUCUCCUUCAACAAGGAAACUCUUGUCUCAAGACCUUUACGUUUGCUGUUCUUUCUGCCAGGAAUUCUCCUCUCCCUAAUGUUUGUAAAGUGUCCUCCAUUUUUUUAUGUCUUAGCUUAGGGGGCCCUUUCUGAUCACCCUUUGUAAAAUGGAUAACUCUACCCAAACAAUAAGCCUCAUCUCCCUUAACCCUACUGUCUGAUUCUCCAUAACCCUGAGCACCAUGAGGUAGACUGUAGGUUACUAAUUUCUUGUUUGCUUCCCCCCGCCCGUCAAAAUAUAAGUUCCAUGAGGACAGGGAUUUUAUUCUCUAUUCUUAGAACACAGAUUUCAGCUCCUAGAACACUGCCUGGCUCAAUGAAUAGAGGCAGAUGACUAAAGAACAGAGCCUAUUUGAUCAAUGACUGAAUGAACAGAAAGACAAAAUUGUUCUCCUGAGGAUGGGAAAGCACUUUGUAAACUAGGAAGUCACGCAGAGGUUUAUUUCUUCCAGUUGAUUCUUUGGUUUCGAAGCCUUAAGAACAGCUUCUGGACUUCCCUAGUGGCUCAGUGGUAAAGAAUCCACCUGCCAAUGCAGGAGACACAGAUUCGAUUCCUGGUCCAGGAAGAUUCGACACUCCUCUGGGCAACUAAGCCCGUGCACCACAACUACCAAGCCAGCGAGCCUAGAGUCAAGGCUUUGCAACAAGAGGAGCCACAGGGGUGGGAAAGCCAGCCCUGCAACAAAGAGGAGCCCCUGCUCACCUCAACUAAAGAAAGCUCGAGCACAGCAAUGAAGACCCAGCACAACUUAAAAAAAAACAAAACUCAACAACUUCUGAAAGCUUUAACUAAAUUGAGUGGGUCAAAUGGUCUUGGUUUAUGCAGUGCUGACUACCAGUUGGCAGGCUACCAGUGAUAUAACUGGGUAUGUCCAGGAGCCCAGUCUUGCCCCCAUUGCCUUCUCUGGUUCACGUCAAAGCUUAGUGAGUACCUUCCUCUUUUCUUUGUUUCUUUUUUAAAAUAUUUUAUGACAUAUUUAUUUAACAUGUAUAUUACACAUACGUUACUCUUUUAAGACACACAUGCUUUGGCUUUUUUGAGUUUUUUAUUCUGGGCAAUGGGAGUGAUAGCUGGUCCCUAUCUGUGGUUGGGAUUCUAUACAGGGAAAGUCAUUCAAUUAAAUCAAGCAGUAUUGAAUCCUUAAUUGACACAAAUGAGACAGACAGACAGCUGGAGGAGUGGGGGAGGGACAAGGAGCAGGUGCUCUGCAUAAUGGAGAAAGAAGAGGGGCAGAAUAUAAAUUCGGCUCACUUGUGAGUCUAGGUUUUAUAUCACAAGAUAGGUAAGUUUUGCCACAGCUUACUUUACACACAGCAGAAAGGAUCUGGUGGUGUCUUUGCCAAGGAUAAGGCAACAGAUUCCAAAUGCUUGUGCCAUUUUGGCUGCCCUGAUGGCCAAGUCUGCCUCUUUUCAGGUACGGUCAUUUAUGAAAAUCACUCUUGGUGGAGCCCAGGUUUUUUUUUCCAGAUAACUUUAUCACGUAAUGUUUGAAUGAAAGAAACCACUUUUUCAAUUCCAUUUCUCAAACAAAGGGAUUCUUAACACAUGAGUUAGGAAAGUGAGGGAAAGGAUGUUUCCAAAUCAUCAAAUGGCAGAUAUAGGGGCAUUCCUGCCGAGGAGGCAUGUCCCUUGACAACUCUGGAAUUUCCCUGAGAAUGUUGGGGGUAUUUUUUCCUCUUAGCCCCAUCCUGAUCUGAGCUUUGACUCCUCAGCUCAGACAAUUCUUCUCUGUAUCCAUGGGAAUUGCUCCCAUAAUUAGCAGUGUCUCCUGCCUGGAACACAGACAAGUAAAUGUUCAAACCUGGCAGCUGAUCCUGGGAAGGAGAGCUGAUUAAAUCUUUCCUGUUGCGAGGCGCCUCUCUGAUUUGAAUGUGACACCUACAUCCUCCACCUCAGGUUUGACUGAGAGAAGCAGUUUCACCCAUGCCUUCAUAGCCGGAGAUCCUGCUAUUUAAAGAUAUUUAAUCUGAAAAAGAGCCCACUAGUUUCCCAGUGAUUUAGUAAAAAGCAAGGGCUUCUCCCCCACCCCCUUUCCUGGCCCCUUCUCCACUAAACACCACCCUGGAUUUGGUAUGAUGAAAGCUCCUGCUGCACAGGUCUCAUCAAAUGCGAGGGAACCUUGAGGAAUAAAAGGAGUUCAGAACACCACUAAGUACACGGGUAGAUCCCGGACUUCCGUGGUGAUCCAGUGUUUGAGAAUCUGCCUGCCACCGCAGAGGACAGUUUUGAUCCCUGGUCUGGGAGGAUUCCACAUGCUGCUUGGCAACUAAGGCCAUGUGCCACAACUACUGAAGCCUGUGCCCCAGAGCUUGCAUUCCACAGGAGAAGCCACCACAGUGAGAAGCCCACGCACCGCGACUGGAGAGUGGCCCCCGCUCACUGCAUCAGAAAAAGCCCUCGCGCCGCAACAAAGACCUAGUGCAGCCAAAAUAAAGAAAUAAAAUGAAAAAAUUUUAAAGCUGUAUAUCGCAGCACCUAGUACUGUGUCUUGUUUAUACUAGAAGUUCUAUAAAGGCUUGCUCAAUAAGGAAUUCGUCUAAAACAUUUUGUUUAUUUAUUUAUUUUGGCCUUACCACUCGGCUUGCGGGAUCUUGGUUCCCCAACCAGGGAUUGUACCUGUGCCAUGGCAGUGAAAGCUCAGAAUACUAACCACUCGGUCACCAGGGAAUUCCCACAUCUAACACUUUAAUUUCCACAAGGCUUUCAUUAUAAUGUGGCAUUUGAUUCAGAUAAGUGGCAAAGCAAGGACUUGAACCCAGGUUUUCUAAAAGGAAGGAAAGAACUCAAACCCUGUAGUAGAUACUAUUUUUGCUCUCCCCAAAUCCUCUCAGAUCUUUUACCAGUUGCUCCCCACCUCUUUUAGGUGCUGUUUGCUUUUGUUUCCAAUAACCAGAACCUGUGGCUCUUCCCAGGAUGGUCCUCAGGCUACUAGAAUGGCUUUGAUUCUUUCCUCUUCCCUUUGCACUUAUGUUAAGUCACCUCAGUUGAGUCAGACUCUGCAACCCUGUGGACUGUAGCCCACCAGGCUCCUCCGUCCAUGGGAUUCUCCAGGCAAAAAUACUAGAGAGGGUUGCCAUUCCCUAUUCCAGAGGCUCUUCCUGACCCAGGGCUGGAACACACAUGUCUUUUGUUUCCUGAAUUAGCAGGCGGGUUCUUCACCACUAGUGGCACCUAGAAGUCCUCUCUCUUCCCUAAGCCUCUAGCAAAUGACUAACUGGAGGUGGGAAUUUGCAAACUCUGUUGACUGUCUCCAGUAGAAUUUAUACUCUUGAGUUCCCUAAGGGAUUAAGCUACCCUUUCUGGGACUGCCUGAAACCUCCUUUUUGCUUGGCUUCUUUCUCUUCUUUGCCCUGCUUCCCCUUGGCGCUUUCUGGCUUCGUGGAGGACUUCCUUAAUUAAUUUCCUAUCUAGGAUUGUUGUCAGACUCUGCUUCUAAGGUUCCCAAAGCAUCCAACUAAGCAUUUCCUUAGUUCCUACUAUAUGUCGGAAACUGUUACGUGCUCUUACAAAAGCUAGUUUAUUUAUACCUCACCAACUCUCUGUGAAUGACAUAUAUAAAUUUCUUUUUUUUCACACCUGAAUAAACAGGCUUAGAGAGCCAAGGUAAUUUAUCCAAGGUCACAGCUAUCGGAAGAGUCAGAAGUUGAACCUAGUUACUUUUACUCCAAAGAUGUGUCCUUUUCACUAAGUCUUGAUGCCUCUUGUGACUCUAAAUUCAAUGUUUUUCUCUUUGUGAGGACAGCAUCAUAGGCUGACUGAGUUUAGUGGGAACUCUUUUAUUUUGGACAUUUAUCUGCACAUCUGGUGGAUUCUUUUGCCAGUUUGUAUAACUUUUAGUAAUGUCAGAUAAAUAGUAAGAGCAGGUAAGAGAUAAAAAGCGCUUCAUCAAAAUAGGCUUGCUCUUUUCUCUCCUACAGGAUGCUCCUAGAAUAACUAUAUAUUAUUCUAAUAACUUGUGAUCUUCUUCCAGUUUCCUAACUCUCUGGGCCUCAAUUU